CUGAACGCCCACCAUGGCCGUCCGCUGCGCUGUCUGGAUCCUCACAGAAAUGUAUUUCCCCGAAGUCGUUUCUCACUCUGCAUCAUUCGCGGAUAGCCAGCCCGUCGCUAGUCGUCCAGCUGGCGACCUAAACAACAACAACAACAGAAAAAACACAUUUAUUUUGCACUUUAAAACAAGUUGGCUGACGGCUGUUGGCUUGCUCUUUUGACGCGAGAAGUCAUCGGCGAUUUUUUUUUCUUUUUUUUUAACGGAAAAAAAACGCCCGAUUUUUCGGUCGACGGGUAUCGACGUUAACCGGCUACACGCCAGCUCGCGACAUUUUGCUGCUUUUUUAAAAGUCAUUUUUAUUCGUGCUUUUGUUUUUGUUGUCAGUGGCGUUUCGUCCGCCUCCCCACCCCUCCUCUCCCACGCAUUGUAUCGUGACGCUUCUAACAGUAAACACUAUACCGUUUUUUAAAAGUAAUUUCACGGGAUAUUUUUUUUUUUGGGGAGGGUUUGUUUUGCUGAAAACAUAACAUUACCGUACCUGCUGUGUGGCCGCUGUUUACCUCGCUGUCUGCCAAGUCGGACUCGAACUGCGACUGAAUCUGCGCUCCAUCUCUUUACGGGUAACUUCUAGAAAGAAGACUUUGGACGACGCUUUUCUGCCUAUUUUGUUGUUAGUUUUUUUUUUCCUGCCGUGAACCGACUCUACACCGAAAGCGGCCAACAACUGUGCUUAACGCAAAGGUCAGGGACAUCGGAACGGGACAUAUUUUGCCUAAUUGUAGUGCCACGCUGCCAGUGAGGGUGAACCUGAUGCACGGAGGACACCCCGGGGUCAUUGCUGAGGGAGGGAGACCGGGGAAGGCAGGUAAGGUUAUAUGUGUGCCAAAAGAGGUCAGGAGGGAAGCUAGGCCUCAGGAGACAUCUGUGUUCUACCAGGCUGUUUUGUGUGUGUGUGUGUGUGUGUGUGUGUGUGUGUGUGUGUGUGUGUGUGUGUGUGUGUGUGUGUGUGUGUGUGUGUGUGUGUGUGUGUGUGUGUGUGAUAAACACUUGAAUAUCAUAAUAAUAUAACACUUAGCCAGUAAAUAUCAUGUGCGUCAUGAAUUCAUUGGGAUGGAUGAACCACAUUUGUCCAUCAAAACUCUUAGGCUGGCUGACAUAAAUAGGGAGAUGGACCGUUAUUAGGAUGAUCCACUGAAUAUGCAGAUUUUUGAAAGUGGCAUUGAUUUGAGACCACAGUCCUGUUUUAGAGAUUAGUGCCCACUGCACUUAGGGAAGAGUAAACACACACAUAUUCUGUCCCACUGGUCCGGCUCAUGCCUCUUUAGUAGUUCCCAGGAGCUGUCACCAAUGCUGAGCCAAAGGAAAGACAGCCGCAAAAGUGGCACUGAGCUUCCGCGGCCCCCCGGGCCAGCUAUCUAUCUAUCCAUCUAGUUCGCCCACUAGAAAAAACUUUUGUGUUUCGUAUUCUGUCAGUGUGCUUAAAGCCUGGUGUCCUUUCUGUCCCUCUAAUCCUGUGCCUUUUUAUCUUCCCGCCAUUCCCUGCUGUCUUUGAACCAACUCUUCACACUGUUACUGCUCUGUCGUGGGCUUUGAUUUAUGUCUCUAACUCUUUUCUGUUCCUACGUCUCCAUUGCAUCGUUUCAUUUUACAGUGUUUGACCAUGAGUGAAAGUGUUUCUCAGAAGCACCUGCGAUGAUUCUUUUUUCUUUUAGGUUGAUGAUUGUGAAUUGGAAAAGUUAAUUUGUCUCUGAAGGGAUUUAAAGUACAAGGCGCAAAAAGAACAGAACUUACCCGGGAAAUAUGUCUUGUGUGAUGGGAG
Long non-coding RNA from Gasterosteus aculeatus aculeatus (three-spined stickleback), 1810 nucleotides. NCBI's taxonomy places the organism in Eukaryota, Metazoa, Chordata, Actinopteri, Perciformes, Gasterosteidae. The record is from Ensembl.